CUUCGGAGGUACUCGAGUGGCGAACGGGUGAGUAACACGUGGGUGAUCUGCCCUGCACUCUGGGAUAAGCCUGGGAAACUGGGUUUAAUACCGGAUAGGACCAUGCUUUAGUGUGUGUGGUGGAAAGUUUUUUCGGUGUAGGAUGAGCCCGCGGCCUAUCAGCUUGUUGGUGGGGUAACGGCCUACCAAGGCGGCGACGGGUAGCCGGACUGAGAGGUUGGUCGGCCACAUUGGGACUGAGAUACGGCCCAG
RNAcentral lists this ribosomal RNA (252 nucleotides) under uncultured Actinomycetales bacterium. RNAcentral describes it as "partial 16S ribosomal RNA". It matches the Rfam family "Bacterial small subunit ribosomal RNA", at positions 78 to 334 of the family's 1533-position model. Lineage: Bacteria; Bacillati; Actinomycetota; Actinomycetes; Actinomycetales. The record is from RNAcentral.